GACUGACUCGGCACGGUGCGUUCAGCCAUCCCCGCCCGUCUCCUUCCCCGGUCCUCUCCUACACACUGCGUGAGUGAGCGUGUGUGCCAACGUGAGUGCGAAGGCGUGCGCCAAACGGUUUCAAACGAAAUCCAUUGCGGUGCUACUGCCGCCUCACUCCACCGUUUCAGCAGUCGAGAGAAGGGUUCGUUUUUGGGGAAACAUUUGUGCGGCGAUUACAAGACCGUGAAAGUAAGCGCGCACGCUGCGUUGACCUGGCGCAGGCUUCUUCGCGGUUUGACUAUCCAGCGCUCCUCCAUGCGGACAGCGGCUCCGCAGUGAGACGAGCGACGGCAGGACAGUGCAGCGGACAGCGAACGAUGUCGGAGAGGGAAGUCCAGGAACACCAAUCCCUGCAGUGGCCUAAACUAGAGCAGGAUCUGCCUCACAUGGUCCCUGAGAGAAGCGUAAGACACUGGUCAUUCACCAUGGAGAGGGAGGGGCGGACCUGCAGUACACUGCUUGGGCAGUGGAGAUCUGAAGAGCACUUUCUGGUCCAGAGAUGAGCAGAAAACAGAUAACACUGGAGCAGCAUCAGACUGUACACAUUGCUAAGUCUGAGCCUCUUCAGAAUCGCCCCCUCUUCCUACCC
Non-coding RNA from Electrophorus electricus (electric eel), 631 nucleotides. Lineage: Eukaryota; Metazoa; Chordata; Actinopteri; Gymnotiformes; Gymnotidae. The record is from RefSeq and is a predicted model, not a curated record.